AUCCUGCCUGUUCCCCACCCCUGCCUUUGUGUCCCUGAUGGUGACCCCUCUCUGUCCCCAGGGAAAAGUCCCAUUCGUGGCUGAGCACAGGCUGGUUUACCAUGGUGAUUGCGGUGGAGCUGUGUGACCACGUGCACGUCUAUGGCAUGGUCCCCCCUGACUACUGCAGCCAGCGGCCCCGCCUGCAGCGCAUGCCCUACCACUACUACGAGCCCAAGGGGCCCGACGAAUGUGUCACCUACAUCCAGAAUGAGCACAGCCGCAAGGGGAACCACCACCGCUUCAUCACGGAGAAGAGGGUCUUCUCGUCCUGGGCCCAGCUGUACGGGAUCACCUUCUCCCACCCCUCCUGGACCUAGGCCACCCGUCUGUGGGGCCACCCAAGGGGCUCAGGAGAAGUGGAUCUGGGCCCAGCCACUCUACCGUGGGCCAUCUGCUGACCAGCCAAGGCUGCUGGAGUGUCUUCUGGCCAGUCAGGGCCUUGAUGAGGGUGAACCCUCCGGCCAGUCAGAGGUCCUGGGGCGUGUCGGCCAAUCAGGGAUUUGGGAUUCUUUGUGAUUUAUCAGGGGAGUCUGUCUUGUCCAGUCAGGGUCUGAGCGUAGUCAAUCAGGGUCUAGGGGUUUUUCUGAGUCAAUCUGAGGCUAAGGACUUGUCCUUUCCCAUGAGGCCUUGGUUCAGAGCCCCAGGAAUGGGCCCCAAAUCACUCCCUCCUGGGACAUUGGGCUGUGAACUUACCGUUGCCCCCCUCAGUUCUCAGCAUCAGGAAGGGAGAUCGUGUGGGGGUGGGAACUGUCUGGAGGCUGGGUCAGAGAAUUCGUGGGUUUAUGGAAGUUAUUGGGAGGCCCAUGAGAUGGGAGGCUGGUGUCCAGGCCACGCUUUCCCUGAGUGGCCUUGGACAAGCCCCCCACUCUCCGGGCACCUCUUCCCCUCCAGGUUCUCAUAUGGGACCUGAGACCCUCCCACCUCCCCCGCUGCUGCCCUGUUCUCAGGAGACGGGGUCCCCCAGCUGCUGUCCCUCACUGGGGGGGCUGGGUCCAGGGGGCAGGAGCGGCUUUCCCCACCUCCUCCUGGAAAACUUUAGGGUAUUUUUGCGCAAACUUCCCCGGGGGAGGGAGGACUGUGGUGAGAGUGGGACCCACCCCAGUGGUCCCAGCCCUCAGCUCAGCUGCCGUCGCUUGGCUCUUGCGGGCCAGGCUUCCUUUCCUACCCUCUCAGGGGAGAGGUCUCCACCUGUCAGAGGAGCCUUCAGGGCUGCGAAAGGGGGAUCCCAGCCACACGGGGGCUCAUGCGGCCUUUGUUUGGAGAUGCCAGGGGAGCCAGGAGCCGUCCCAGCUGGGGCUAGCUCCUCGCUCAGGCACUUUAUGAAGCAGGUGCUGGCGGGGGCGCAUCUGCUCCCUGCUCUUCCAGAUCCCGGAGGGGAAGGACUUCCAGGAAGAGGCUGCGGAGUGGGGGGUGCCUGGAGGCCAGCUCCGGCCAUUGCACACACGGGGUGAGGGGGGCGUGCCAACCCCAGACCUGGUUUUGUAAUGAUUUGUAAAGGAAUAAACACCUAAGCUCCAGC
RNAcentral lists this long non-coding RNA (1561 nucleotides) under Marmota marmota marmota (Alpine marmot). RNAcentral describes it as "lncRNA (ENSMMMG00000017140.1)". Lineage: Eukaryota; Metazoa; Chordata; Mammalia; Rodentia; Sciuridae. The record is from RNAcentral.